RNAcentral lists this ribosomal RNA (459 nucleotides) under uncultured bacterium. RNAcentral describes it as "partial 16S ribosomal RNA". It matches the Rfam family "Bacterial small subunit ribosomal RNA", at positions 338 to 795 of the family's 1533-position model. The record is from RNAcentral.
CCUACGGGUGGCAGCAGUGAGGAAUAUUGGUCAAUGGCCGAAAGGCUGAACCAGCCAAGUCGCGUGAGGGAAGAAGGCCCUACGGGUUGUAAACCUCUUUUGUCGGGGAGCAAAGCGAACCACGUGUGGUUCAUUGAGAGUACCCGAAGAAAAAGCAUCGGCUAACUCCGUGCCAGCAGCCGCGGUAAUACGGAGGAUGCGAGCGUUAUCCGGAUUUAUUGGGUUUAAAGGGUGCGCAGGCGGAGGUGCAAGUCAGCGGUCAAAUUGCGGGGCUCAACCCCGUACUGCCGUUGAAACUGCAUCCCUUGAGUGCAGGAGAGGUAGGCGGAAUGCGUGGUGUAGCGGUGAAAUGCAUAGAUAUCACGCAGAACUCCGAUUGCGAAGGCAGCAUACCGGUCCGCAACUGACGCUGAUGCACGAAAGCGUGGGUAUCGAACAGGAUUAGAUACCCCAGUAGUC